Molecule: non-coding RNA, 28 nt
Filed under: Rattus norvegicus (Norway rat)
Lineage: Eukaryota; Metazoa; Chordata; Mammalia; Rodentia; Muridae
Source: RNAcentral
UCGGUGUCAAUAGUCUCCAGACCUGGGU